RNAcentral lists this ribosomal RNA (506 nucleotides) under uncultured bacterium. RNAcentral describes it as "partial 16S ribosomal RNA". It matches the Rfam family "Bacterial small subunit ribosomal RNA", at positions 30 to 523 of the family's 1533-position model. The record is from RNAcentral.
AUUGAACGCUGGCGGCAUGCCUAACACAUGCAAGUCGAACGGCAGCACGGUCUAGCUUGCUAGAUGGGUGGCGAGUGGCGAACGGGUGAGUAACGCGUAGGAAUAUGCCUUGAAGUGGGGGACAACUUGGGGAAACUCAAGCUAAUACCGCAUAAUUUCUUAGGAAAAAAGCUGGGGACCUUAGGGCCUGGCGCUUCAAGAUUAGCCUGCGUACGAUUAGCUAGUUGGUAGGGUAAGAGCCUACCAAGGCGACGAUCGUUAGCUGGUCUGAGAGGAUGGCCAGCCACACUGGAACUGAGACACGGUCCAGACUCCUACGGGAGGCAGCAGUGGGGAAUAUUGGACAAUGGGGGCAACCCUGAUCCAGCAAUGCCGCGUGUGUGAAGAAGGCCUGAGGGUUGUAAAGCACUUUCAGUGGGGAGGAGGAUUGCCAGGUUAAGAGCUAGGUAAUUGGACGUUACCCACAGAAGAAGCACCGGCUAACUCCGUGCCAGCCGCCGCGGUAA